RNAcentral lists this ribosomal RNA (492 nucleotides) under uncultured bacterium. RNAcentral describes it as "partial 16S ribosomal RNA". It matches the Rfam family "Bacterial small subunit ribosomal RNA", at positions 29 to 507 of the family's 1533-position model. The record is from RNAcentral.
AUUGAACGCUGGCGGCAUGCUUUACACAUGCAAGUCGAACGGUAACAGGCCUUCGGGUGCUGACGAGUGGCGAACGGGUGAGUAAUGCAUCGGAACGUGCCCAGAGGUGGGGGAUAACGCAGCGAAAGCUGUGCUAAUACCGCACGUGAUCUGAGGAUGAAAGCGGGGGACCAAGCAGCAAUGUUUGGCCUCGCGCCUCAGGAGCGGCCGAUGUCAGAUUAGGUAGUUGGUGGGGUAAAGGCCUACCAAGCCGACGAUCUGUAGCUGGUCUGAGAGGACGACCAGCCACACUGGGACUGAGACACGGCCCAGACUCCUACGGGAGGCAGCAGUGGGGAAUUUUGGACAAUGGGCGCAAGCCUGAUCCAGCAAUGCCGCGUGCGGGAAGAAGGCCUUCGGGUUGUAAACCGCUUUUGUACGGAACGAAAAGGCUCUGGCUAAUACCUGGGGCUGAUGACGGUACCGUAAGAAUAAGCACCGGCUAACUACGUG